UAGGCCCUCUUGACUUACUUCCUCUG
Molecule: non-coding RNA, 26 nt
Filed under: Mus musculus (house mouse)
Lineage: Eukaryota; Metazoa; Chordata; Mammalia; Rodentia; Muridae
Source: RNAcentral